This 253-nucleotide ribosomal RNA is filed under the name uncultured bacterium. Its description in RNAcentral is "partial 16S ribosomal RNA". It matches the Rfam family "Bacterial small subunit ribosomal RNA", at positions 524 to 776 of the family's 1533-position model. The record is from RNAcentral.
UACAGGGGGGGCAAGCGUUGUUCGGAAUUAUUGGGCGUAAAGGGCGCGUAGGCGGUGCGGUAAGUCACCUGUGAAACCUCUGGGCUUAACUCAGAGCCUGCAGGCGAAACUACCGUGCUGGAGUGUGGGAGAGGUGCGUGGAAUUCCCGGUGUAGCGGUGGAAUGCGUAGAUAUCGGGAGGAACACCUGUGGCGAAAGCGGCGCACUGGACCACAACUGACGCUGAGGCGCGAAAGCUAGGGGAGCAAACAGG